Molecule: long non-coding RNA, 409 nt
Organism: Solanum tuberosum (potato)
Lineage: Eukaryota; Viridiplantae; Streptophyta; Magnoliopsida; Solanales; Solanaceae
Exons: 3
Source: RefSeq, a predicted model, not a curated record
AUAAACACCCAAAUGAGUGCUUAUAAAUCAAGUGCCUAUAUGUGAUUCUGAAUUAGUACAAGUUCUAUAUAAAAAAAUCAUCGACACCAAGCUAGAAAUAUAAAUAUUUGUAAACCUUGUGGCUGGUUGGACUUGAGUUAAUCUUUUAUUUUUGCUAAAUAUCAACAGACUUAGAGCUAAAAGUUCAUAUUUGCAGAAUCAGUUAAGGUCAAAUAUUAGGGAAAUUUCUAGCUUUUACAUUCUACCUGAUGUUCUUAAGUUCGUGAAAUUUAGGAUACUUGCUCACAAAAAAGAGAUAGAAAUCCCAUGAGGUACAUGGAGCAAUAAAAUCAACGCACAAAGCGUCGGCAAUUUCAGUUAUUCUUCUUGGAAAAUGAAAAUCAAUUUAGAAGUAAAAGAAAACUCCUUA